UAAAUUUGCACCACGUAUUUUAAAAAAAUACAUAACAAUCAUUUAAAGCAAUAUUGGAAUG
Molecule: non-coding RNA, 61 nt
Filed under: unclassified sequences
Description: S15-Flavobacteria ribosomal protein leader
Rfam family: S15-Flavobacteria ribosomal protein leader
Source: RNAcentral